RNAcentral lists this transfer RNA (70 nucleotides) under Liachirus melanospilos (carpet sole). RNAcentral's name for it is "tRNA-Asp". It matches the Rfam family "tRNA". Rfam says of the family: Transfer RNA (tRNA) molecules are approximately 80 nucleotides in length. Their secondary structure includes four short double-helical elements and three loops (D, anti-codon, and T loops). Further hydrogen bonds mediate the characteristic L-shaped molecular structure. tRNAs have two regions of fundamental functional importance: the anti-codon, which is responsible for specific mRNA codon recognition, and the 3' end, to which the tRNAs corresponding amino acid is attached (by aminoacyl-tRNA synthetases). tRNAs cope with the degeneracy of the genetic code in two manners: having more than one tRNA (with a specific anti-codon) for a particular amino acid; and 'wobble' base-pairing, i.e. permitting non-standard base-pairing at the 3rd anti-codon position. Lineage: Eukaryota; Metazoa; Chordata; Actinopteri; Pleuronectiformes; Soleidae. The record is from RNAcentral.
GAGACACUAGUAAAAACAUCUACAUUGCCUUGUCAAGGCAAAAUUGUGGGUUAGAGUCCCACGUGUCUUA